This 930-nucleotide ribosomal RNA is filed under the name uncultured bacterium. RNAcentral describes it as "bacterial SSU rRNA". It matches the Rfam family "Bacterial small subunit ribosomal RNA", at positions 33 to 968 of the family's 1533-position model. The record is from RNAcentral.
ACGCUGGCGGCGUGCUUAACACAUGCAAGUCGAACGAUGAAGCCUAGCUUGCUAGGUGGAUUAGUGGCGAACGGGUGAGUAAUACGUGAGUAACCUACCUUUAACUCUGGGAUAAGCCUGGGAAACUGGGUCUAAUACCGGAUACGACCAAUCUCCGCAUGGGGUGUUGGUGGAAGGCGUUAUGUAGUGGUUAUAGAUGGGCUCACGGCCUAUCAGCUUGUUGGUGAGGUAACGGCUCACCAAGGCGACGACGGGUAGCCGGCCUGAGAGGGUGACCGGCCACACUGGGACUGAGACACGGCCCAGACUCCUACGGGAGGCAGCAGUGGGGAAUAUUGCACAAUGGGCGCAAGCCUGAUGCAGCGACGCCGCGUGAGGGAUGACGGCCUUCGGGUUGUAAACCUCUGUUAGCAGGGAAGAAGAGAAAUUGACGGUACCUGCAGAGAAAGCGCCGGCUAACUACGUGCCAGCAGCCGCGGUAAUACGUAGGGCGCGAGCGUUGUCCGGAAUUAUUGGUCGUAAAGAGCUUGUAGGCGGUUUGUCGCGUCUGCUGUGAAAGGCCGGGGCUUAACCCCGUGUAUUGCAGUGGGUACGGGCAGACUAGAGUGCAGUAGGGGAGACUGGAAUUCCUGGUGUAGCGGUGGAAUGCGCAGAUAUCAGGAGGAACACCGAUGGCGAAGGCAGGUCUCUGGGCUGUAACUGACGCUGAGAAGCGAAAGCAUGGGGAGCGAACAGGAUUAGAUACCCUGGUAGUCCAUGCCGUAAACGUUGGGCACUAGGUGUGGGGGACAUUCCACGUUUUCCGCGCCGUAGCUAACGCAUUAAGUGCCCCGCCUGGGGAGUACGGCCGCAAGGCUAAAACUCAAAGAAAUUGACGGGGGCCCGCACAAGCGGCGGAGCAUGCGGAUUAAUUCGAUGCAACGCGAAGAA